RNAcentral lists this ribosomal RNA (227 nucleotides) under uncultured bacterium. Its description in RNAcentral is "partial 16S ribosomal RNA". It matches the Rfam family "Bacterial small subunit ribosomal RNA", at positions 1278 to 1502 of the family's 1533-position model. The record is from RNAcentral.
AAAACCGGUCCCAGUUCGGAUUGCAGGCUGAAACUCGCCUACAUGAAGUCGGAGUUGCUAGUAAUCGCGAAUCAGAAUGUCGCGGUGAAUACGUUCCCGGGCCUUGUACACACCGCCCGUCACACCACGAAAGUUGGCAACACCCGAAGCCGGUGAGUUAACCUGUAAAGGGAACAGCCGUCGAAGGUGGGGUCGGUAAUUGGGGUGAAGUCGUAACAAGGUAGCCG